RNAcentral lists this ribosomal RNA (253 nucleotides) under uncultured bacterium. Its description in RNAcentral is "partial 16S ribosomal RNA". It matches the Rfam family "Bacterial small subunit ribosomal RNA", at positions 524 to 776 of the family's 1533-position model. The record is from RNAcentral.
GACAGAGGUCCCAAGCGUUAGGCGGAAUCACUGGGCUUAAAGCGUGUGUAGGCGGAUGCCUAAGUACCUUGUGAAAUCCCACGGCUCACCCGUGGAACUGCUUGGUAUACUGGGUGUCUUGAGCCACUUAGGGGCUACCGGAACAAAUGGUGGAGCGGUGAAAUGCGUAGAUAUCAAGAGGAACACCUGAGGUGAAGACGGGUUGCUGGGCUGACACUGACGCUGAGGCGCGAAAGCUAGGGUAGCAAACGGG